Molecule: small RNA, 155 nt
Filed under: Arabidopsis thaliana (thale cress)
Lineage: Eukaryota; Viridiplantae; Streptophyta; Magnoliopsida; Brassicales; Brassicaceae
Description: ATSL208040
Source: RNAcentral
UUGCAAUCAUUUUUAAAGGACUAGAAAGUGGUAAAGAAUGAUUUACAAGGGAUUUUAAAAGCUAUUAAAAGGGGUUUACUUGAUUAAUAAUCGUUUUAGAAGCAUAACUUAGUGGCAUAGAAUGAUUUACAAGGAAUUUUAAAAGGUUUUAAAAG